RNAcentral lists this ribosomal RNA (163 nucleotides) under Hemizonia congesta subsp. luzulifolia. Its description in RNAcentral is "5.8S ribosomal RNA". It matches the Rfam family "5.8S ribosomal RNA". Rfam says of the family: 5.8S ribosomal RNA (5.8S rRNA) is a component of the large subunit of the eukaryotic ribosome. It is transcribed by RNA polymerase I as part of the 45S precursor that also contains 18S and 28S rRNA. Lineage: Eukaryota; Viridiplantae; Streptophyta; Magnoliopsida; Asterales; Asteraceae. The record is from RNAcentral.
UAAACGACUCUCGGCAACGGAUAUCUCGGCUCACGCAUCGAUGAAGAACGUAGCAAAAUGCGAUACUUGGUGUGAAUUGCAGAAUCCCGUGAACCAUCGAGUUUUUGAACGCAAGUUGCGCCCGAAGCCUUCUGGCUGAGGGCACGUCUGCCUGGGCGUACGC